RNAcentral lists this transfer RNA (74 nucleotides) under Ixodes scapularis (black-legged tick). It matches the Rfam family "tRNA". From Rfam's summary of the family: Transfer RNA (tRNA) molecules are approximately 80 nucleotides in length. Their secondary structure includes four short double-helical elements and three loops (D, anti-codon, and T loops). Lineage: Eukaryota; Metazoa; Arthropoda; Arachnida; Ixodida; Ixodidae. The record is from Rfam by way of RNAcentral.
GCCUCCGUGGCGCAAUCGGUUAGCGCGUUCGGCCGUUCACCGAAAGGUUGGUGGUUUGAGUCCACCCAGUGGCG